RNAcentral lists this long non-coding RNA (7146 nucleotides) under Hordeum vulgare. RNAcentral's name for it is "long non-coding RNA (HVUL_LNC004047)". Lineage: Eukaryota; Viridiplantae; Streptophyta; Magnoliopsida; Poales; Poaceae. The record is from RNAcentral.
CUCUCCCCCGCAUAUCCACUCCAAUCGCAUCGCACCGCACCCCUCCCUCCCUCCCAUCUCCCCUCCCUCCACCCAGCGCCGAUGACCGCGCGCGGCGACGAGGUGCGCACGGCAGCGACCGUUGAAGGGUCCCGUAUAAUCUCGCCCCCUCCUCCCCUCUCACUAACAGGCGGGCCCCCACUGACAGGACCCUCUCCUGCGCCUCUCUCUCUCUCUCACGAGUCACCAACAGAGGAGCGGCGGCGGCGUCCGGCGGCGCGCAUCGAGGUGCAGCCCCUCUCCUCUAUAUCUCUCUAUCCAUCUCUUCCGCUUAGAGCUCCCCCUGCCCCCUCUCCCUCGGAUGUCUCCAUGGAUGACUGAUGGUGGCGACGGCGGACGCCCUCUCUCCCUGCCCUGGUCCCCCCUCUCCUCCCUGAUCUUCUUUUCCUCUCUGACCUGCAGCACGAAGGAGGCCAGGACGAAGCGGCAGGCCGACGACCAGUGGCACCUCUAUCUUCUUAGCUCCUGAUUCCUCGCCAGGUAUGACCCUACCUGUUCGAUCUGCUUGGACAGUGGAUUAGUAUGUUGUAAGGUGUAUUUAUCUGAAUGUAUGUAUUAGUAUGUUGGCGCCUUGAAAAUUAAGCAGUGGAAACGAGACCCUGCCGGUAGUAGCUAUUGUGCUUGUGUUUCACCGAGCAGUUGCUGCUAAAUGCCGAUUCGUCGUCAAACCAGCAUGUUGGCGCUUGCGAUAAAAGUGCAUCAUGUGAGGCUUAGCCUGAUGAGUGACCAGUCGAGUGUUUGUUACUGCAUACUAUAGUAACUGCAUGUAUAGAGAGCAGCUAUGCCUUGUGGCCUUCUGGGGGUGUGCCCCCCCCCACAAGCAACAUAAACAUAAAAAAUAUGCACAUUGUUGUUUUUCUUAUUCCCCACAAGCAAUGCCCGGUUACUACUAAGAUGAAGAAAGUGUAAAUGUAUGCUUCUAGUAGUAUGUAUGCGCACAAACAAAUAGCUUUUAGUCAUCUAAUUACCACUCGGUAACUUAACUUGUGUUGCUUCAACAACAAAACCUAUCAAAACUACCGGGGUAGACAUGAAUGAGUGAAAACAAAUAUGCAUGGCACCAGCACAUGUAAGAUCGAUUUGCGCCAAACAUCCUAGAGUAUGAAAAGUUCGCAAAGAAUAAUAUCUGAAUGUUGUGCAUCAAGCCAUGAACCAACAAACAUAAGGCAGAUCGACCAGCUUGUGUUAAAUUCCGUGCUUUAGAGUGAAAUGCACUGGCACUGAAUCAACUUGCAUAUUUUGCAUCCUCCCUGAUAAAGAGGGCAACUUGACAUAUGUAUGUUUGUAUGAGUGUCUCUAGUGCUACAUACAUGCAUUGAGAUGAUACAAACAAUAGCCAUCUUAUGUUUCUCUGUUACACUUACGCCAUGCGCGUUUAUGACUCUGCAUUUAUGUCACGAGUCAACAGCAUAUUGGCUCUUGCUCAUGCCACUUUAUAUUUAUAUGAAAUUCUACUGUUACAUUAGACCAAAUGGAUGGGCAUGGGAAUGCACGCCAUCAAUGGUUUAGCAAGUUACAUGCAUAGAUGAUCAGUACAGCUAGCCGAGAAUUCCUUUUGAAGAACUUCAUCACGAGGGCCCAUGCUUGUGCAGGAACAAAUAGUUACCCCUUUCUCCUGAAAUGUUGAUUAAUUUUUGUUUCGGUUGAGAAUGGGGCACUCCUAGGUCAAGAAAAUUAGCAAAGGUCAUGCACAAUUUUAUUGACCUAGAAGGUGCCCGAUUCUCCACCGAAACAAAAAUUAAUCAACAUUUAGAGACAAUGUUAUUUCCUCACCCAUAGAAAGCUAGUAGUUAUGAGGGCAUUAACUUAUGGUGCUUUCAAGCAAUCCUAGUGUGUAUAUACUAUAUAGGUUUGAUGAUUGCCUUAUCUCUGUUUCAUUAUAUACUAUGUAGCAGUAUUUGUUUGGGAGGAAUUGUGUCAACAAUGAACUUGCAAUAAUGGAUGGAAUAAGGUGAAUGAUGUCCCAAUAUGUCGUUGUUUGUGCUCAUAAUGAAUGUCAUCAACUAUGGUCCUUUUAUUUAUUACUCAUUUGACUUAUUUUGUUAUACUACUUCGGAUUCGCCUUUCAGCUCCACAGUCGAAGAUUGUAAAUGAAAUCCAUAACAAAUUUUAGUUCUGAAAGUUGUUGAAAGUAAUUAUAAAAUGAGAUUAAAUGUGUUUAGUAAAUAAGAGGAAGACGUAUUUUGCCUUUGUAACUAGGUUCUUAAGGAUAUUGCUGCUUUCUGCCUGAGGUCUAGUUUUCUUUAUUUUCUUUUGGCAAUUUGAUCCAAUACUACCCAAGAACUGUGCUAGCAAGAUAUGGCAAUUGCAUUUCUGUGCUGAAGAAAAUUGACAAUAGUGAUGCUAUUAUACUAUAUCCAGUUUACAGUAUGGUGUGAGACUGACAAUCUUUUAGGUUAUUCCUCAGUCUCACAACCCUUUACCUUGCCAUUUCGGUGUGCUCUGUUGGACCAAUAAAGUUGAAGAGUUCUGCUUUGCUAAGUUAGAGCAUUUCCUAAAAAAUAUGUUAUGUUUGGUGGAACCUAAAUUUCGCCUAACCAGAUUUUAGAGGGAAUGAUGCCACUAUCUAGUAACUUCAUCGUAUUUCAUGCAAGUCCUUAUUAGUCGUAGUAGGUGAUCUGAAGUGUACUAUAUUUAGAUUGCUAUCCUUUUAUUACGGUAAUAGUUAAUUAUUUAACUGAGCUUGUACUAGACACUUUUUGGGCAAAACAAGGUUUCCUGUUAAUGUAACAAGAGGAAUGGUUGUAUUCUCAAUUUUCCUCCUAAUCUGAGAAGAAUAGAUACUACCCUGAUCUCAUCCAAUAACUCUAGUAGCCUUUUCUCCUAUUUAGAGUGAACAUGGCCAACAACGAUGAGGCCGGCGGUUCGGGCAAGCCAUUCUAGGAGCUGUCCCAGGAGAUGGAGGAAGAACCUCGCCGUUAUGAGGUCGCCGUGGAAGACACCGACCCCGACUACACAACCCCUAGUGGCGUCGGGGAUGUCACCACUGAUGGUGCCGCCGGGGAUGCCACCACUGAUGAUGGCAACGAACGCACAGAUGGCAGCCAACCGAAGAGGCAACGGAAGGAUCGGCGCCCGAACGUGCUCGACACCGUCAAGGAGGAAUUUACUGAAGUGUCCUCCAGUGGGCAUCCAACGGCGCCCAAAGAAUUAGUCGGUGGGUACGCGGGAUAACUCGGGUGCAUUGUCCGGAGCACCGUCCCGAUCAACACCGAGAACCUAAGACAUCAUGACAGAGGGAAUUUGCGCAACGUCCUCUUCACGAAGCUGCACGAAUGAUACAAGUUCCCCGGUAACGUCGCAAACACACGCCUCUCAGGGAAUAAAGUGAACAGUGCCGCCCUCACGAAGAUGAGCACGACCCUGGCUACUUGGUGAGCCGCGGUGAAGAGAAGGAUUAUAAGAGGUGAUAGUUAUGAGAAGAUCAAGGAGACAAAUCCUUCGAUCAGAAAAGCUGACUACCUGGAGUUCAAGAUCAAGUGCGAGAGCAACGCAUCCGCGGAAUCAAGUCAGUGGGGGAAAGAUAUGCGGGACUUGAACUUAGGGGACCUCAAACUCGGUCCCGGCGGUUACAGAGUGGCGGAACCUAAAUGGGACAAGGAGGACGUGGAGCGUGCCGAUCAAGGUCUACAGCCCCUCUUCGAUAAAUACCAUGAAAAGCAGACCAGGAACUAUGUGAGGGCCCGGUAAAAGGUGGACCCGGUAACAAAGGAGCUUACCACGGAUCUGAAGGUGAAGGAGCUUGAGCGUGUUCUGGUAAGGAAUACACCCCCUCGUAAUUAUCUCCAUAUAGUUGCAUUCUAAUUAAUGAAGCCAAAUUUCUAAAUGGUUCACGUUCCUUCCACAGGAAACUGAAAGCAGUAGCGCGGGGUCUCAGAGCUCCUUUCUGCCCCUUGGGACACCACUUUAAAUAGGGCGUUGAACGUAAUGAAACACAAGGAUAAGUUCAGUAAGCCGUCGUCAGCUGGUCGUGUAGCCGGCGAAGGCUUGUCCACGAAAUGGUCGGAAUACUAUAAGGCUGGGCAAAAGGAGAGAAAGACCAGCUCGGAAAGCCAGGAGCGCGAGGUUAAAGAAAUCAAGGCACAAGUGGCGUAGAUUCCGGAGAUAGUCCAAGAGCAAGUGCGACACCAACUGGGAGCGACGAUCACCGCCAUUAUGCCUUCCUUGCUUGAGGGGAUGCGGGGGUGGAUUGCGGGCGGCCAACAGGGGCCGCCCCCGAUUCCCAACUUCACGGGCAGCAACUCGCACAACGCGCCUGCAUCGGUCUCUCCGGAGGAGGCGGCAUUGCAGGUGUCUCCGGCGUCGGCGCCGGUAUUGGAGCUUAAUGCACCCGUGUGUGGGAAGAAUACGCCGGCCGGCACCUCGGCAGCAAGCGGCCCCUCCGUCACUUCCACGCCCGCCGUUGGCGGUGCCUCGACAUUAGUCGAGCUCGACGCCAUCACGGUAACUAAGCCUCGGCCGAUGACUUCAUCACCUUGACUUUGACUGGGCAUCCGUGAUGCCCUACAUGUUUUCGCACGGCACCGCCAACGUUCCAUGCACUCUCCUGCACUUCAUGGACGGCGAGUUGAUUGAUGUCGCCAAGGCCAAAAUCGUUGAACCGGGCAACCGCAUGUUCCACAGUAAUCCGAUGCCACCCACCGUGUAUAGGGUUCAACUGGUUCGGGUGCUGCAGGGUUGCGAUGACUUGUUACCUCCGUAUCGACCACCUCGGGCCGACGAAGAUGAUGUGAUGACCCUCAACGCCUGCGUAAACUGGUCCAUGCUUUGGCCGAAGAGCCAGAUUCGUUUGGGGCCGGGGGGACACCACCCCAUAGACAACAACGCCAGUCGUGCCGGCGCCAAGCCAUGGCAAGACCGCCGCAACGCUACCGCCGUCAGCUGAUCCGGACAUGCAUAUGGCACAUGAUUUGGACAACGACGACGGUACAUUUCCAACGUUGAUAAGUACAUCAAUGAACUUCGGUACGGUGAUGAAUUGUUGGGGCCUCCUUCUGAAGAACCCAACCCUGCAAAAGACGAUCGCGAUCUAGCUGGUACUGCGGAGAAACCCAAUCACAACAGGCGUCGUCUAUUCAGUUCUCAGGAGACGCCUCCAGCUGCCGCCAUCACCGAGGCUCAAAUAGCCGAGGUGUAAAAUAUUAUCAGCCCCAACACACUCAAGAAGGUGGUCUCUGAGUAGAACUCGAUCCCAUUAAAGCAGAAGAAGCAGAAGGGAUGGAACCCCCCCCCCCAGGGUGCGAGCCAGCCGACACCGAGUACGAUCCAUACUCGGGACGGGCCACCAAUAUCUAAUGAUAUCUCGAGGAGGGUGCAUGUGGCGGGUAGGCCGAUGCUACCGACUAAUCUGCUCAAUGCUGCAACCGGUGCUAUGCGGAGUCUGCAUGACGGUGUUCUUUAUAUGGAGAAGCGGCGUCUCUCCGAGAAUGAUCUGGCAUACCCGGUUUUCGUGGCCAAGGUGCCAGAGGGAAAGGUCUUUUCGAUAGCACCAUCAGGCGUAUGAUUGUCCUGCGGUUUGAUGACAUCUUCGAUAUGUUGAACCUUUAUCCGCUGCACUACACCCUCAUCCGGCUAUUUUCGCUCAGUAUGGAGAUGCGCAUCAUUAGACACAAGACCCCGGACAUCGUGAUAGUCGACCCCUUCUACAUGUGUGCCAAGAUCUUGGGUAGCGCUAGGGACCGGCAAGUCGCGAGUUCAUACCUCGAAGGCGUCAUUCUGGCGAAUGGAGAUAAGGAUAACUACCUCGUGCCUUACUUUUCCGAGUAAGUCAUCCCCUCACCGCCCCAUAACAUAUGAUUUCUUAGAUUUCGAUCAUUCUUUUUUACUAACAUUCUGUGUUUUGUGCAGUGACACACAUUGCACACUCAUCCUCUUAAGCCCGAAAUAUUCCAUGGCGAUGUAUUUCGACUCGGACCGUCAGUCGAAGAAAGACUACACAACUAUCAAGAAAGUUCUUGAUGAUGCUCUCCCCGGCUACGCCAAAUAUGGUGGCACCUUCAGGAGGCCAAUUCGUAGGUACGGCAAGCAUGUGUUCACCCACGUAACGACGUUCCCCUGCGUCAAGAAGCCGCCUGGAAGUCAAAAGGAUGCCUACUACGCCCUCCAUCACACGCGGGCAAUCGUACGGGACCAGCAUCACCGUAUGCUAACAAAUGAUCUCAAAGAAUGGGCCACAUGCUUGUCGGCAAUCCAGGACGAGGACAUCAGACAAGAACUCUUUCGCAUCCAGUCAGAGUUUGCGGAAAUCAUCUAUCAAGAUGUCCUUCCUAGCUCGGGGCAGUUGUACCUCAACUGUCAACCGUCCAACAGUGAAAUAGAAACAACGCUACAAAUGCAGGCUGACAACAACCGCACAUUCAUGACCAUCAGGAAAGACGACGGCUUCAUCCAUGCUCCGGUCCCUGAGUCGAGUCAAAAGUAUUGAUGCUAUGUAGUUCUGAAAUAUCGAUUAGCUCAUGUUGUAAUUAAACUUUGAUGAACUUGUAUGUCUCUUUAGUUUGGACAGCCGUUCAACUUAUAUGUAAUCGAUGCUAGGACCAUGAAUCGUGCUAUUAAUGUGUUGCUUUUCUCUUCCGAUCCUUUUGUUGCAUACUUAUAUAUUUCUUAUAUAUUAUCUGUGAAUUGCUACUAACGUUUUGUGUGUCUAGUGCAUAGAGAUGUCGUCGUAUGUCGUGUACAAGGGUGAGGUUCCCAGAGUCUACGACGACUAGGAGGAGUGUCGAAGACAGGUUCACCGUUUUAGCGGUAACUGUUACAAAGGGUACACCACUAAGACACAGGCGGAAGCUAGAUACGCGCGCUAUCUAGCGGGAGAGAGGAGGGAGCGGAGGAGGAACCGGAUGAAGAUCAGUUUCAUCGUGAUGAUGCUCAUCGUGACCGCAACCAUCUUCUAUGUGAUGGUAGUUCACAUAUCGACUUGUAGUGUGAAGACAAACUCACUACUCGCGGUCUCGAGACUUGUAAUGUUCUAACUUUGUUCGGUAUUUUGAAUUCAGAGACUAAUAUGAUGAAUUGUAUUCGAAGACUAAUCUUCUAUUGUAUUCGAUAAAUCUGCUGUUUAUAUGUUGUGUUGUUUAUAUUCUGUGUUGUAAUGUAUUUUGUAACCUG